Molecule: ribosomal RNA, 453 nt
Filed under: uncultured soil bacterium
Lineage: Bacteria
Description: bacterial SSU rRNA
Rfam family: Bacterial small subunit ribosomal RNA
Source: RNAcentral
AGGACGAACGCUGGCGGCGUGCUUAACACAUGCAAGUCGAGCGGUAAGGCCCUUUCGGGGGUACACGAGCGGCGAACGGGUGAGUAACACGUGAGCAAUCUGCCCUUCACUUCGGGAUAAGCCUCGGAAACGGGGUCUAAUACCGGAUAUGACCGCGCCAUGCAUGUGGUGUGGUGGAAAGUUCUGGCGGUGGAGGAUGAGCUCGCGGCCUAUCAGCGUUGUUGGUGGGGUAAUGGCCUACCAAGGCUUCGACGGGUAGCCGGCCUGAGGAGGGUGACCGGCCACACGUGGGACUGAGACACGGCCCAGACUCCACGGGAGGCAGCAGUGGGGAAUAGUGGACAAGUGGGCGAAAGCCUGAUCCAGACGAACGCGCGUGAGGAUGACGGCCUUCGGGUACGUAACUCUUCACGCGCCGACGAACGCGAGAGUGGACGGUGGACGCGAGAAGGA